Pongo abelii (Sumatran orangutan) is the source of this 119-nucleotide small nuclear RNA. Its record names the gene U2. It matches the Rfam family "U2 spliceosomal RNA". From Rfam's summary of the family: U2 is a small nuclear RNA (snRNA) component of the spliceosome (involved in pre-mRNA splicing). The record is from Ensembl. Lineage: Eukaryota; Metazoa; Chordata; Mammalia; Primates; Hominidae.
AUUGCUUCUUGGCCUUUUAGCUAAGACCAAGUGUAGUAUCUGCUCUUAUCAGUUCUAAGAAAUAAAAAAAAAAUUGAUUCAUUCAUUAUCAAAAAGUGAUCUUUAAACCUGGAAACUAU